UGGGGAAUUUUGGACAAUGGGGGAAACCCUGAUCCAGCCAUCCCGCGUGUGCGAUGAAGGCCUUCGGGUUGUAAAGCACUUUUGGCAGGAAAGAAACGUCAUGGGUUAAUACCCCGUGAAACUGACGGUACCUGCAGAAUAAGCACCGGCUAACUACGUGCCAGCAGCCGCGGUAAUACGUAGGGUGCAAGCGUUAAUCGGAAUUACUGGGCGUAAAGCGUGCGCAGGCGGUUCGGAAAGAAAGAUGUGAAAUCCCAGAGCUCAACUUUGGAACUGCAUUUUUAACUACCGGGCUAGAGUGCGUCAGAGGGAGGUGGAAUUCCGCGUGUAGCAGUGAAAUGCGUAGAUAUGCGGAGGAACACCGAUGGCGAAGGCAGCCUCCUGGGAUAACACUGACGCUCAUGCACGAAAGCGUGGGGAGCAAACAGG
This 429-nucleotide ribosomal RNA is filed under the name Acidobacteriota bacterium. RNAcentral's name for it is "Acidobacteria bacterium partial 16S ribosomal RNA". It matches the Rfam family "Bacterial small subunit ribosomal RNA", at positions 355 to 776 of the family's 1533-position model. The record is from RNAcentral. Lineage: Bacteria; Pseudomonadati; Acidobacteriota.